AUGUCCUCUCCUUUCGAUUUCAGGAUCUUUGAGAGGAGGCGAUUAGGGGCUGCACCGCCGUCGCCAUGUGUCCCUGCUGCACCGCCGCCUCCUACCCAAGUGCCUCCCGGUGGGCAACUGGAUGUGCCGCCUCCGCCGCCGUCGAGCCAGCCUUCUCGGCUCUGCGGGCCGCCCCACAGAAAACCCUCCCGUGUUUACUGUCUCCGCUCCUAUGCGGCAGCCUCUCGGCAUCAUCUCUCCCCUUCCCGUCGUUUGCCCUCUCGAUCUGCAGGGCCUCUAUCUUGCAGUCGACUGCUGGCGACCUUGAACCCCGGUACGCGUGCCACAGCGGCCUCUUCGGAAUGUCAGAUUCAGUUACAGUCUAUAGGGAUAGAACAUUCAGAUCAGAGAUCGAAUGAAGCUCCAAAUCAAUCCAAAUCAUACACCAUUCAUACUAACCUACAGGUACGAUAA
This 453-nucleotide ribosomal RNA is filed under the name Triticum aestivum (bread wheat). RNAcentral's name for it is "partial small subunit ribosomal RNA". The record is from RNAcentral. Lineage: Eukaryota; Viridiplantae; Streptophyta; Magnoliopsida; Poales; Poaceae.